This 572-nucleotide ribosomal RNA is filed under the name Escherichia coli. RNAcentral's name for it is "partial 23S ribosomal RNA". It matches the Rfam family "Bacterial large subunit ribosomal RNA", at positions 830 to 1398 of the family's 2925-position model. Lineage: Bacteria; Pseudomonadati; Pseudomonadota; Gammaproteobacteria; Enterobacterales; Enterobacteriaceae. The record is from RNAcentral.
CAAUCAAACCGGGAGAUAGCUGGUUCUCCCCGAAAGCUAUUUAGGUAGCGCCUCGUGAAUUCAUCUCCGGGGGUAGAGCACUGUUUCGGCAAGGGGGUCAUCCCGACUUACCAACCCGAUGCAAACUGCGAAUACCGGAGAAUGUUAUCACGGGAGACACACGGCGGGUGCUAACGUCCGUCGUGAAGAGGGAAACAACCCAGACCGCCAGCUAAGGUCCCAAAGUCAUGGUUAAGUGGGAAACGAUGUGGGAAGGCCCAGACAGCCAGGAUGUUGGCUUAGAAGCAGCCAUCAUUUAAAGAAAGCGUAAUAGCUCACUGGUCGAGUCGGCCUGCGCGGAAGAUGUAACGGGGCUAAACCAUGCACCGAAGCUGCGGCAGCGACGCUUAUGCGUUGUUGGGUAGGGGAGCGUUCUGUAAGCCUGUGAAGGUGUGCUGUGAGGCAUGCUGGAGGUAUCAGAAGUGCGAAUGCUGACAUAAGUAACGAUAAAGCGGGUGAAAAGCCCGCUCGCCGGAAGACCAAGGGUUCCUGUCCAACGUUAAUCGGGGCAGGGUGAGUCGACCCCUAAGGCG